AGUCUUCGAUCUGUUUCUCUCUUUUUUUUUUCACUUUUAUUUUCAGUUUCUUCUUCACUGCAGGAUGAGACAGAGCUUCAUCUUCUUCACUUCUGCUGAAGAGUAAAUCGAUCUUCUUCAUUUCUUCUUUCUGCAUCUUCUUCUUCUUCUCUUUUCACUUCUUCUUUUAUGUCCUUCAGUCCUUCUUCUUCAUCUGGUUUAGGGUUCUUAAUUCUUAUGUUCUUCAUCUGCUACUGCUAGCUACUAAGGCUAAUCAUUUGAGUUGCUAAAUGGGACAUCUAUGGGAAUAUUUUGAGAAACUUGAUUCUACAAGAGCAAAGUGUAGGCACUGCUCAAAGGUAUAUGCUGCUGAUACAAAGCGAAAUGGGACAACUAAGAUGAGAUUUCAUAUACAACAAUGUCCAAUUAUUCGAGAAAUGAGGCGUAGAUUCAACCACAAAGGGAAAGAGGACUUAAAGGGAGCUUGAUAUUCAUUGUCGCAGUCUCGCAUACUUAUGGAAUGUAAAAAACCCGGUACCGGUCUUGUACCGAACCGGUACCGGAAGUACAUGUAUAACACCAGGUACAAGUACAGGUACCAGUCCUAAAUAUGAGGUACCAGUCAACACCAAGUACAGGGACCGGUACUAUAGGAGAACCGUACCGUACCGGACCAUGUGCAACCUUACCCUCAACGGUCGUUUCAGCCUCUCCACCAAUAGUUUCGACAUCCUGAGCCGCGCCGACAUCCUUCUUAGCAACUGCUCCAAAAACCUCUUGAUGAUACUCCGGUUCGUCAACAUCAGAGCCAAGGAUUACGAUACCGUUAUGAACAUGAUAAUUAAACUUACUCUCGCCUGAAGGUUCCUUAGGAUCGAUCCUUCGCCGCUUCAGUCGAGAAGCGAACCUUUCAGCCCUAGCACUGGGAUGCGGAGAUGCUUCACCACACCGAGAAUCAACGCGCUGGGAUGCUUCGUCAUGUCUCCACUUCUCCUCCAUGUCAACCAAAGCAAUGAAAGCUUGAACACGCCCUCGAACAAUGUGUAGAUGAGUGAGAGACAUAUCCUGUAUGGCCUGACCAGCCUCACGAAACAAAGAAUCAAUUUUGUUUAAUAUCUCCUCAGACGCAGAGACCCUGGGUUUGUCAACUUCAAAUCUUUUCCCCGAGGAAUUGGAAGAAUGAUCAUCACCAGGAGUUCCCAUCAUGAACUGCAGAGAAUCAUUAUGUCUACAUCGACAACCUACGUAGUAAAGAGGGCAAAAAUAAAACUACAAAAAGGAUAUGAAACAAUACCUAAAAGGAGAUAACACAAUCCUGUGGUGAUCGAUGUGAAACGAGAAGCUCGAGGUGCUCUCUUAUAUUACGCAAACCGAUAAAACCGGGGAAAAGAAAACUCUUUGCCUGCCGUACAAGAAGGUUCUAGAUACGGGAUAUCAGCUGAUUAGACACUUAUCUAUCUGGGAUGGUUGACUCACCUUGGCUGCUGAUGGAAAAGAAGUUCGUCAUUGCAAGAACAAAGCUAACGAAGCAAGAAUAAAAGGAUGUGUGAUGCCUUUUAUAUGCACGACGCCUUAAGAGUUUGGGUGAAAAAAGGAAUCCGCUUUGGAUUCAACCAUGCCCAAAUCAGCGCCAACGUCCUGUAGCUGAACCAGCAGCGCGCCAGCACAUCAGACACUCAACCUGCAUCGUCCCGUGGCCAAAGUUGCAGCGCCAGCAUCAACGUUCUGUGGCCAAAAGUUGCAACUCCAGCACCCUGUGGCCAAGCCGGAAAUACGCCAAGAUGCCAACACAAGGAUCAUAGACUACUCAUAUCUCCUGCCAAUGGUUAGUCAAAUUUUCCCUGGCAAUCUCCGCAUGUUUUGCCUUUUGGUUCCAUCCUUGUCUGUCACCAUUUCAUGCUUACCCCGCAACAAUGCUACUGUUUCGAGCUAAGCAAGGGACUUAAUGCUGAUGGUGGUUUUUAGUUCAGGGUUAAGAUUGUAAAACCUCGUAUUUAAUGUGUCGUCACUCUGCAAGGAAACGAAGCUAUGUAAAAGUGAUGAGUGUUCAACCUCUUCACUGACGCAUUUAUUGAGCAACUGAAUAUUUUCUCAUGAAAUUUGUCAUGAAUGGUGCAUGUAGCAACAAUCCCUGAUAUUCUGUAAAUUUUGGCACCUUGCCUGUAUUAUUCAGUUAAUAUAAGUUUCUUUGAAUGCCUU
This is a long non-coding RNA of Papaver somniferum (opium poppy), 2178 nucleotides long. RefSeq lists it as uncharacterized. The record is from RefSeq and is a predicted model, not a curated record. Lineage: Eukaryota; Viridiplantae; Streptophyta; Magnoliopsida; Ranunculales; Papaveraceae. The transcript has 3 exons.